Molecule: ribosomal RNA, 1417 nt
Filed under: Lactiplantibacillus plantarum
Lineage: Bacteria; Bacillati; Bacillota; Bacilli; Lactobacillales; Lactobacillaceae
Description: bacterial SSU rRNA
Rfam family: Bacterial small subunit ribosomal RNA
Source: RNAcentral
UGCAAGUCGAACGAACUCUGGUAUUGAUUGGUGCUUGCAUCAUGAUUUACAUUUGAGUGAGUGGCGAACUGGUGAGUAACACGUGGGAAACCUGCCCAGAAGCGGGGGAUAACACCUGGAAACAGAUGCUAAUACCGCAUAACAACUUGGACCGCAUGGUCCGAGUUUGAAAGAUGGCUUCGGCUAUCACUUUUGGAUGGUCCCGCGGCGUAUUAGCUAGAUGGUGGGGUAACGGCUCACCAUGGCAAUGAUACGUAGCCGACCUGAGAGGGUAAUCGGCCACAUUGGGACUGAGACACGGCCCAAACUCCUACGGGAGGCAGCAGUAGGGAAUCUUCCACAAUGGACGAAAGUCUGAUGGAGCAACGCCGCGUGAGUGAAGAAGGGUUUCGGCUCGUAAAACUCUGUUGUUAAAGAAGAACAUAUCUGAGAGUAACUGUUCAGGUAUUGACGGUAUUUAACCAGAAAGCCACGGCUAACUACGUGCCAGCAGCCGCGGUAAUACGUAGGUGGCAAGCGUUGUCCGGAUUUAUUGGGCGUAAAGCGAGCGCAGGCGGUUUUUUAAGUCUGAUGUGAAAGCCUUCGGCUCAACCGAAGAAGUGCAUCGGAAACUGGGAAACUUGAGUGCAGAAGAGGACAGUGGAACUCCAUGUGUAGCGGUGAAAUGCGUAGAUAUAUGGAAGAACACCAGUGGCGAAGGCGGCUGUCUGGUCUGUAACUGACGCUGAGGCUCGAAAGUAUGGGUAGCAAACAGGAUUAGAUACCCUGGUAGUCCAUACCGUAAACGAUGAAUGCUAAGUGUUGGAGGGUUUCCGCCCUUCAGUGCUGCAGCUAACGCAUUAAGCAUUCCGCCUGGGGAGUACGGCCGCAAGGCUGAAACUCAAAGGAAUUGACGGGGGCCCGCACAAGCGGUGGAGCAUGUGGUUUAAUUCGAAGCUACGCGAAGAACCUUACCAGGUCUUGACAUACUAUGCAAAUCUAAGAGAUUAGACGUUCCCUUCGGGGACAUGGAUACAGGUGGUGCAUGGUUGUCGUCAGCUCGUGUCGUGAGAUGUUGGGUUAAGUCCCGCAACGAGCGCAACCCUUAUUAUCAGUUGCCAGCAUUAAGUUGGGCACUCUGGUGAGACUGCCGGUGACAAACCGGAGGAAGGUGGGGAUGACGUCAAAUCAUCAUGCCCCUUAUGACCUGGGCUACACACGUGCUACAAUGGAUGGUACAACGAGUUGCGAACUCGCGAGAGUAAGCUAAUCUCUUAAAGCCAUUCUCAGUUCGGAUUGUAGGCUGCAACUCGCCUACAUGAAGUCGGAAUCGCUAGUAAUCGCGGAUCAGCAUGCCGCGGUGAAUACGUUCCCGGGCCUUGUACACACCGCCCGUCACACCAUGAGAGUUUGUAACACCCAAAGUCGGUGGGGUAAC